Molecule: transfer RNA, 73 nt
Filed under: Chitinophagaceae bacterium
Lineage: Bacteria; Pseudomonadati; Bacteroidota; Chitinophagia; Chitinophagales; Chitinophagaceae
Also listed under: 1 other name
Description: tRNA-Thr
Rfam family: tRNA
About the family: Transfer RNA (tRNA) molecules are approximately 80 nucleotides in length. Their secondary structure includes four short double-helical elements and three loops (D, anti-codon, and T loops). Further hydrogen bonds mediate the characteristic L-shaped molecular structure. tRNAs have two regions of fundamental functional importance: the anti-codon, which is responsible for specific mRNA codon recognition, and the 3' end, to which the tRNAs corresponding amino acid is attached (by aminoacyl-tRNA synthetases). tRNAs cope with the degeneracy of the genetic code in two manners: having more than one tRNA (with a specific anti-codon) for a particular amino acid; and 'wobble' base-pairing, i.e. permitting non-standard base-pairing at the 3rd anti-codon position.
Source: RNAcentral
GCCGAAGUAGCUCAGUUGGUAGAGCAGCUGAUUUGUAAUCAGCAGGUCGCUGGUUCGACUCCAGUCUUCGGCU